RNAcentral lists this ribosomal RNA (707 nucleotides) under Cyclops kolensis. RNAcentral describes it as "SSU rRNA". It matches the Rfam family "Eukaryotic small subunit ribosomal RNA", at positions 600 to 1302 of the family's 1831-position model. The record is from RNAcentral. Lineage: Eukaryota; Metazoa; Arthropoda; Copepoda; Cyclopoida; Cyclopidae.
UAUAUUAAAGUUGUUGCGGUUAAAAAGCUCGUAGUUUGAUUUCGGCGAGCAGGGGGCGGUUCGUUAUUUGACGUAACUGCCCCAUUUGCUCGUGUUUCUUCGGCAGAACUCCCGGGGUGCUCUUCGCCGAGUGUCCCGUUGGGGGCUGCCAGGUUUACUUUGAAAAAAUUAGAGUGCUCCAAGCAGGCUCGACACGCCUGAAUAUUUGUGCAUGGAAUAAUGGAAUAGGACGUCGUUCCUAUUUUGUUGGUUUUAGGGAAUCGACGUAAUGAUUAAUAGGGACAGCCGGGGGCAUUAGUAUUCAGACGACAGAGGUGAAAUUCUUGGACCGUCUGGCGACUCACUGCUGCGAAAGCGUUUGCCAAGUAUGUUUUCAUUAAUCAAGAACGAAAGUUAGAGGUUCGAAGGCGAUCAGAUACCGCCCUAGUUCUAACCAUAAACGAUGCCAGCUAGCGAUCCGCAGAUGUUUUUAUUGUAGGCUCUGCGGGAAGCUUCCGGGAAACCAAAGCUUUUGGGUUCCGGGGGAAGUAUGGGUGCAAAGCUGAAACUUAAAGAAAUUGACGGAAGGGCACCACCAGGCGUGGAACUUGCGGCUUAAUUUGACUCAACACUGGAAAUCUCACCAGGCCCGGACACCGGAAGGAUUGACAGAUUGAGAGCUCUUUCUCGAUUCGGUGGGUGGUGGUGCAUGGCCGUUCUUAGUUGGU